CCCAUUUCCCUCCUCCAACCUAACUCCUGAACAUGCUCCAAAUAACCCACCUGCUACUUUUAUGCAAAAGCCUCCCACCAUAGACUUAACCACCCCUAACCCACACCACAACUCUUCCUACCCAGCAUCACUUUUCUUUCAUACAUCUUACAUACACCGUACUCCACCUCCCCAACCCACCAAUAAAAUCCAAAAUCCCAAAACAAACCCAUAAUAAUACAAUACAUCAGGAAGCCCACCCCAAUUGCCAAAAGAGCUCCAGCCAACAACGCAUACAUACACCGCGUACAAUAUAUACGCGCCCAGUACAUAUGCCCAUACCUUGUCGUCUUCUUCUUUAUCCUCGACAACAGUACAUCCAAAGACAACGGCUACUGCAUUUUUUCCUUCAACGCAUGAAGAUUUCACCAAGUAAUGAUUCCAAGGACACGUGAAUCAAUCUCGGCCAUCCAUGAUUCUUGUUUCAUCCAAAUUUGUUGAAGAGUUUUGGCAUUUUUUUUGGAGAAAUUAGGGUAUAUUCCUUAUCUGAUGGAAGGAAUUUGAAUUUUAAAUUUUAAAAUUUUAUCUAAAUCCUUCAAUUUCAUCCAAAAAUCCUUCUCCCCCCCCCCAUUUUUGACCCUAAACUCCUUUCUACAAAAGGUUUCCUCUUCAAUCUUUCGUAUGGGGUUGGGAUUAUUCUUUAAGGAAGAAAAUACAUGUUCGACUAAAAGGGUUAGAAAUUUUUACCAAAAAGAUACAAAUCCCUAAAGUAGUUAAUAAUUUUUUGUCAAGAAUCGAAGGGUGUUUGUUCGGAGAAGACCAGUAAAAUGUGGGAUUUCCAUUCAUUUUCUUUUUGAGUUAGCUCCAGUGGCUCUCUACUUGUGGUGGUGAAGAAGCUUCAGCUCGCUCAUCCCAGUUCCUGCUCCUAAGAAGGGAUGAACGACACUCAUGAUCAUCAUGUUUGUGGAUAGAGAUUGCCCUAUAUUCUCAAGGAGUUAGUGAGUCCUUAUUCUAUCGAGGACAUGUUUUAUUCAUAUUUCUACUAUUUUGACUUCUUCUUUUGUUAGGGUGAGCUAGGAACUUGUCCUAAGCCCCUAUCAAAAACUAGAUUAGAGGCAUGUUUAUAUGAUUUAUGAUGUAGUCCAGAUUGGACAUCUUUUGAGUUGUUAUCCCUUAGUCCCAUCCCUUUUGAGUUGAUUACUUUCGCUUAACAUUUUCAUAUUCUUUACCUUAUGUAUGUGAUUUAUGAUAAGAUGGCUUAUGUUUGGGGUC
Molecule: long non-coding RNA, 1251 nt
Organism: Solanum dulcamara
Lineage: Eukaryota; Viridiplantae; Streptophyta; Magnoliopsida; Solanales; Solanaceae
Exons: 2
Source: RefSeq, a predicted model, not a curated record